CGAACGCUGGCGGCGUGCCUAAUACAUGCAAGUAGAACGCUGAAGGAAUAGCUUGCUAUUCUGGAAGAGUUGCGAACGGGUGAGUAACGCGUAGGUAACCUACCUCAUAGCGGGGGAUAACUAUUGGAAACGAUAGCUAAUACCGCAUAAGAAUACUUAUUGCAUGAUAAGUAUUUAAAAGGAACAACAGUUUCACUGUGAGAUGGACCUGCGUUGUAUUAGCUAGUUGGUAAGGUAACGGCUUACCAAGGCGACGAUACAUAGCCGACCUGAGAGGGUGAUCGGCCACACUGGGACUGAGACACGGCCCAGACUCCUACGGGAGGCAGCAGUAGGGAAUCUUCGGCAAUGGGGGCAACCCUGACCGAGCAACGCCGCGUGAGUGAAGAAGGUUUUCGGAUCGUAAAGCUCUGUUGUCAGCCAAGAAUGUAUGUGAGAGUGGAAAAUUCACAUAGUGACGGUAACUGACCAGAAAGGGACGGCUAACUAC
RNAcentral lists this ribosomal RNA (490 nucleotides) under uncultured bacterium. RNAcentral's name for it is "bacterial SSU rRNA". It matches the Rfam family "Bacterial small subunit ribosomal RNA", at positions 30 to 504 of the family's 1533-position model. The record is from RNAcentral.